UCAGCUCUAACCAGGGGCAUGUCCUCAUCUUCCCCUAACAUAUAUUCAACUUGUUCCUGGGCAGAAAUUUUAAGUUCAUCACCAAAUGGAGGACAUGAUCCACCAAUAGAUGUGGCAAAACGAACUGCUGAAACAAAAACAUUUUUUGUAGCGCUUAAAUCUACUUGUUGGAUCCUGGCUAUAAUGGGCAUAGCUAUUGGACCCAGUUUUGAGACCAUUUUCAAGAUUUCUUCCUCUUCCUUGUCCUCCCAAGGAACGGCCUCUAGGUACUGGAUGCAGCUUUUUGUGAUCUCUUCACAGCUGAAUGCAACUGAAACUUCAAGUAUACCAACAGUGGACUUGACAGAGUCCAAAGAGUCCAAAAGCGAAUCCACAGGGAGAUACAGCAAUCUCAAUAAGUUAACAUGAUGAUCAUAAUUAAAAGCUGAGCAAUGAAGCUCCACACAUGUACCAGAGUCCGGAUUAGAGAGCAAAUCAGCAAAGAACUUGCUCUUAUUAACUAGUACAGAAGAGUGUAAAUAGAAAAUUUCAGGUCUUCCAUUACAAUUUCUCAAGCGUAUGAUUAUAUCACUAGUGCUCUGGUCUCCAAAUCUGCAAGGUUUUUCUACUCCAGUUUUGUCCAUGUGUGAGUAGGAAUACAAAAUUCAUGCUUCAUGCAUUUAAAUGGAUAAAAAAUCCAAAUUGUGGCAACGAAAUGGGAGAUUUCCAAUUGGAGACUAGCGUGGGAUGCUGUAGUUUCGACAUUGCAAAACAGGGAAUUCUUCUCCAAGUAGAUACUGGCAACACAUUAGGGCUAUGAAAUUAUCGAUGAAGG
RNAcentral lists this unclassified non-coding RNA (814 nucleotides) under Hevea brasiliensis (rubber tree). Lineage: Eukaryota; Viridiplantae; Streptophyta; Magnoliopsida; Malpighiales; Euphorbiaceae. The record is from RNAcentral.